CUUUACGGCGGGCGUGUCGGGCAGACUCACGUCUGGCCGGGUUUGAGUCACUUGACCGGUUUUCGACCCCGACACGUCCGCCACCCUG
RNAcentral lists this non-coding RNA (88 nucleotides) under Luteibacter sp. Sphag1AF. The record is from RNAcentral. Lineage: Bacteria; Pseudomonadati; Pseudomonadota; Gammaproteobacteria; Lysobacterales; Rhodanobacteraceae.